AACUUUUAGCAAUGGAUCACUUGGCUCUCGCAUCGAUGAAGAACGCAGCGAAAUGCGAUAAGUAAUGUGAAUUUCAGAGUUCAGUGAAUCAUCGAAUCUUUGAACGCACCUUGCGCCCUUUGGCUAUUCUGAAGGGCAUGCCGGUUUGAGUAUCAUGAACACCUCUUGUCUCAUGGUCCGCCAUGAUGUGCUUGGGCUUUGGGGGUCUUGCCGGCCCAGUGUCGGCUCCUCUCAAAUGGAUCAGCUUGCCAGUGUUUGGUGGCGUCACAGGUGUGAUAACUAUCUACGCUUGUGGUUUUCUGCCAUAUAACCUUCAGUGAUGGAGGUUCUCUGGAGCUCACAGAUGUAUAUCCUUGGGGAGGACAGCUUUUGAACGUUUGAUCUCAAAUCAGGUAGGACUACCCGCUGAACUUAAGCAUAACAAUAAGCGGAGGCU
This 436-nucleotide unclassified non-coding RNA is filed under the name uncultured Tomentella. Its description in RNAcentral is "sequence contains ITS2". The stretch from base 1 to 155 matches the Rfam family "5.8S ribosomal RNA". Lineage: Eukaryota; Fungi; Basidiomycota; Agaricomycetes; Thelephorales; Thelephoraceae. The record is from RNAcentral.